Non-coding RNA from Callorhinus ursinus (northern fur seal), 417 nucleotides. The record is from RefSeq and is a predicted model, not a curated record. Lineage: Eukaryota; Metazoa; Chordata; Mammalia; Carnivora; Otariidae.
CGGCGGUACGAGGCGCGCGCUCGGGGUCCCGGUCGCGAGGAGGAGGAGGAUGUGGCACGCGGAGGGGAAAUGGCUGCCGAAAACAAGCCGGAAGAGCGUUUCCCAAAGUGUAUUCUGCGGAACUAGCACCUACUGUGUUCUCAACACCGUGCCACCUCUAGAAGAUGAUCAUGGGAACAGCAAUAGUAGUCAUGUAAAAAUCUUUUUACCGAAAAAGCUCCUUGAAUGUCUGCCGAAAUGUUCAAGUUUACCCAAAGAGAGGCACCAUUGGAACACUAAUGAGAGAUCAUGAUGCAGCCGUCCUUUUGGAUUUCUUUUUAGUAAUGUGUGACCCUUCACCUUUGAUCCCCUGACCUGCAUUACCUUGGUAACCAUUUCAUUUUUUAAUUUAAUUUCAUUUUUUAAUUUUGAUGUACA